Molecule: microRNA, 23 nt
Filed under: Ananas comosus (pineapple)
Lineage: Eukaryota; Viridiplantae; Streptophyta; Magnoliopsida; Poales; Bromeliaceae
Description: microRNA s0175_c069
Source: RNAcentral
AGCAUGUGUUAACUUAACUUCCU